CAUGUUAUUUUUUUCUCAAUUGUAACGUAACCUUAUAAUAUUGAUAACAAUUUUGACCAAUUUAGCAAGAGCUUAAACUAUAGAAUUUAGUAGCUACCUUAAUAGGCAAAAAUUACAAGUUUUUCAUUUUGUUCUGAUGAUGGCAUUGUUAAAAUGUUAGUUGUAUGAUUAUUGCAAUCAUGAGAAAUUGUGUGCUAAAAAUAUGUAAUUUGUUAUGAAAAGUCAACUAACCCGGUAUAUUUGAAUUUACCAUAUUCCUAAAUAUUAGCUCAAUCAUAGGGAGUAUUUUCCUAAAUAACUAAAGAUAAUUGUACAUAAAUUUGUAUCUCUUAUUCUUGAUUAAUACAAGAAAUGCAAUUCCCUCUACAUGGCAUCAAAGCGGUGACUUUCAAGCUUUUUUGUCUACUCUUGUC
Molecule: unclassified non-coding RNA, 413 nt
Filed under: Hevea brasiliensis (rubber tree)
Lineage: Eukaryota; Viridiplantae; Streptophyta; Magnoliopsida; Malpighiales; Euphorbiaceae
Source: RNAcentral